GUGUCAGCAGCCGCGGUAAUACGGAGGGUGCAAGCGUUAUCCGGAAUCAUUGGGUUUAAAGGGUCCGCAGGCGGAUUUAUAAGUCAGUGGUGAAAGCCUACAGCUCAACUGUAGAACUGCCAUUGAUACUGUAAGUCUUGAAUUCGGUCGAAGUGGGCGGAAUAUGACAUGUAGCGGUGAAAUGCUUAGAUAUGUCAUAGAACACCGAUAGCGAAGGCAGCUCACUAGGCCUGGAUUGACGCUCAGGGACGAAAGCGUGGGGAGCAAACAGGAUUAGAAACCCCAGUAGUCC
Molecule: ribosomal RNA, 292 nt
Filed under: uncultured Fluviicola sp.
Lineage: Bacteria; Pseudomonadati; Bacteroidota; Flavobacteriia; Flavobacteriales; Crocinitomicaceae
Description: partial 16S ribosomal RNA
Rfam family: Bacterial small subunit ribosomal RNA
Source: RNAcentral